UGCGGAGGAAAAGAAACCAACUGGGAUUACCUUAGUAACGGCGAGUGAAGCGGUAAAAGCUCAAAUUUGAAAUCUGGUACUUUCAGUGCCCGAGUUGUAAUUUGUAGAAUUUGUCUUUGAUUAGGUCCUUGUCUAUGUUCCUUGGAACAGGACGUCAUAGAGGGUGAGAAUCCCGUUUGGCGAGGAUACCUUUUCUCUGUAAGACUUUUUCGAAGAGUCGAGUUGUUUGGGAAUGCAGCUCAAAGUGGGUGGUAAAUUCCAUCUAAAGCUAAAUAUUGGCGAGAGACCGAUAGCGAACAAGUACAGUGAUGGAAAGAUGAAAAGAACUUUGAAAAGAGAGUGAAAAAGUACGUGAAAUUGUUGAAAGGGAAGGGCAUUUGAUCAGACAUGGUGUUUUUUGCAUGCACUCGCCUCUCGUGGGCUUGGGCCUCUCAAAAAUUUCACUGGGCCAACAUCAAUUCUGGCAGCAGGAUAAAUCAUUAAGAAUGUAGCUACUUCGGUAGUGUUAUAGCUUUUUGGAAUACUGUUAGCCGGGAUUGAGGACUGCGCUUCGGCAAGGAUGUUGGCAUAAUGGUUAAAUGCCGCCCGUCUUGAA
Molecule: ribosomal RNA, 595 nt
Filed under: Hanseniaspora uvarum
Lineage: Eukaryota; Fungi; Ascomycota; Saccharomycetes; Saccharomycodales; Saccharomycodaceae
Description: eukaryotic LSU rRNA
Rfam family: Eukaryotic large subunit ribosomal RNA
Source: RNAcentral